Long non-coding RNA from Bombina bombina (fire-bellied toad), 417 nucleotides. RefSeq lists it as uncharacterized. The record is from RefSeq and is a predicted model, not a curated record. The transcript has 4 exons. NCBI's taxonomy places the organism in Eukaryota, Metazoa, Chordata, Amphibia, Anura, Bombinatoridae.
UUAGGAGCGAGCUGUUAUGGUUUUAUUUAGGUUAUUAUAAGCGCUUGGGUGUCGAAAUAAGUGUAUAAGGUACCGCAGUGUGUAAAGAGAUAUUAGAGAUUUAACCAACUGGAUACCAGUAAUACACACACAGUGUCGUUGGGGGGCUGUGCUCAGCUGCUGCCAUACACUAACACGCUGCUGUUACUGUGAAGAUCACGUACAAUACACAUCACUGCAUUUGCCAGUAAAGGAGAAACAUUAUAAGAAUAUCUGACAAAUUCAGUUGCUGAACAAAACAAUGUCUGACAAGACCGAGAACCAAACCUCAGACUGUUCUGAUGCACACGGAGAUGAAGAUAACACUGAUGUAGUGAAAGAUGAGAUAACAGAAGAUCUGUGUGUGAGGCGUCAGCUGGGAUCCCUGGAUGAGCAAAC